CGUUUCGUUUAUUUCGUUGGUUGUUCCGUGUUAUGGGUCAAACUAAUCGUUUAAAUAAUUCUAGUUUUGUGCACCGAUUGAUGUCUUGUUCUAUUUCAGCUCCGUACUUGGUCCAUCGACAAAUAGUAAAAACGUCGUCAAGCGUACCUGGCCGAACCCCGCUGCCGCCAGAUACAUACACAGCGACUGUACCCGACGGCAUAAAUGAAUGGUGUAUUGCCAUUCAUUUGGUUUUGGAACGAGCAUUUGGUGUGCGGCGAUAUGUUUCGAAUCAGUUCAAACAUUAUAAAGGUUAGACGAGUGCUGGAUGACUUGGAAUUGAAUGAGAACGAUGUGCGCAGCAACUGCCAGGGAAUCCAGCCAACCAACUGGACAAAGAGAACACAAGCUUGUCAUGGUGGGACUGGACAACGCCGACAAGACGACCAUUCUGUACCAGUUUGUGAUGAACGAGGUGGUUCACACGACCGAUCGGAUCGAACGUGGAAGAGGUACGCACGCAGUUUACCAGAUGACCAGUGGCCACUUCGU
This is a long non-coding RNA of Anopheles cruzii, 531 nucleotides long. RefSeq lists it as uncharacterized. The record is from RefSeq and is a predicted model, not a curated record. Lineage: Eukaryota; Metazoa; Arthropoda; Insecta; Diptera; Culicidae. The transcript is spliced from 3 exons.